AAGUCGUAACAAGGUUUCCGUAGGUGAACCUGCGGAAGGAUCAUUAACACUCAUCUAUACUAUCUUGAUAGUAUAUUUGAUUAUACACAUCAUCCGUGCUCCUUUUCUUUUUCUCACACCUUUCAACCCAUUUCUUUUAUUGUUUUUAUUCUUAAUUUGACUUUUGCUUGCAAAAGAUUCAAAUUAGUUUUGUUAAUUGAUGAAUACACAACAAUAUAUUUUAUUGUGUGUAUGCAUUAAAAGCACAACUCUUAACAAUGGAUAUCUCGGCUCUC
Molecule: unclassified non-coding RNA, 275 nt
Filed under: fungal sp.
Lineage: Eukaryota; Fungi
Description: partial internal transcribed spacer region
Rfam family: Eukaryotic small subunit ribosomal RNA (bases 1-46)
Source: RNAcentral